AACGCACCUUGCGCCCCUUGGCAUUCCGAGGGGCACACCCGUUUGAGUGUCGUGAAAUUUUCAACCCUCCCUCCUUUUCUUUUUGAAUGUGGGGGAAGGGCUUGGACUCUGGAGGCUUUUGCUGGCCUCUUACUUUUGAAGCCAGCUCCUCUCAAACGCAUUAGCAGGGUCUAUGGUCGGAUCCCUAAGACGUGAUAAGCUUUAUUCUAUGUCUCGGGUUUUUGGCUCUGCCUGCUCCCAAUCGUCUCGUUAUUUAGAGACAAGAAAAACCCCCCUUUGACCUCAAAUCGGGUGAGACUACCCGCUGAACUUAA
RNAcentral lists this unclassified non-coding RNA (314 nucleotides) under uncultured Russulales. Its description in RNAcentral is "sequence contains 5.8S rRNA gene, ITS2, 28S rRNA gene". Lineage: Eukaryota; Fungi; Basidiomycota; Agaricomycetes; Agaricales. The record is from RNAcentral.